AUGUACCCAAUUGCAUGGGCAGUAGUUGAGAAGGAGAAUAAUGACUCAUGGGAUUGGUUCUGUGAUUUACUGUUUAGAGAUUUGGAAGUGGAAGAUGGUCAAGGCUGGGUGUUCAUAUCUGACCAGCAGAAAGUGAGUGCUACAUAA
This 147-nucleotide ribosomal RNA is filed under the name Triticum aestivum (bread wheat). RNAcentral describes it as "partial small subunit ribosomal RNA". The record is from RNAcentral. Lineage: Eukaryota; Viridiplantae; Streptophyta; Magnoliopsida; Poales; Poaceae.